RNAcentral lists this ribosomal RNA (253 nucleotides) under uncultured bacterium. RNAcentral's name for it is "partial 16S ribosomal RNA". It matches the Rfam family "Bacterial small subunit ribosomal RNA", at positions 524 to 776 of the family's 1533-position model. The record is from RNAcentral.
UACGUAGGGUCCGAGCGUUGUCCGGAAUUAUUGGGCGUAAAGAGCUCGUAGGCGGUUUGUCGCGUCUGCUGUGAAAUCUGGAGGCUCAACCUCCAGCCUGCAGUGGGUACGGGCAGACUAGAGUGCGGUAGGGGAGAAUGGAAUUCCUGGUGUAGCGGUGGAAUGCGCAGAUAUCAGGAGGAACACCGAUGGCGAAGGCAGUUCUCUGGGCCGUAACUGACGCUGAGGAGCGAAAGCGUGGGGAGCGAACAGG